UAGUCCACGCCCUAAACGAUGCUAACUCGAUAUUUGGAUCUUGAAUCUGAGUGUCUAAGCGAAAGCGAUAAGUUAGCCACCUGGGGAGUACGUUCGCAAGAAUGAAACUCAAAGGAAUUGACGGGGGUCCGCACAAGCGGUGGAGCAUUUGUGGUUUAAUUCGAUGAUACGCGAGGAACCUUACCUAGGCCAUAAUGUGAGCGCUAUCUGGUGAAAGCCGGAGUUCCUUCGGGACGCGAAACAAGGUGCUGCAUGGUUGUCGUCAGCUCGUGCCGUGAGGUGUCAGGUUAAGUCCUAUAACGAGCGCAACCCCUACCGUUAGUUGCUAGCAGGUCAUGCUGAGGACUCUAACGGGACUGCCGGUGCAAACCGUGAGGAAGGUGGGGAUGACGUCAAAUCAUCACGGCCCUUACGUCCUGGGCUACACACGUGCUACAAUGGUAUAUACAGAGGGCAGCUACCUAGUGAUAGGAUGCGAAUCUUGAAAGUAUAUCUCAGUUC
This 501-nucleotide ribosomal RNA is filed under the name uncultured bacterium. RNAcentral's name for it is "bacterial SSU rRNA". It matches the Rfam family "Bacterial small subunit ribosomal RNA", at positions 791 to 1294 of the family's 1533-position model. The record is from RNAcentral.